This 96-nucleotide transfer RNA is filed under the name Methanobacteriota archaeon. Its description in RNAcentral is "Euryarchaeota archaeon (hot springs metagenome) tRNA-Arg". It matches the Rfam family "tRNA". From Rfam's summary of the family: Transfer RNA (tRNA) molecules are approximately 80 nucleotides in length. Their secondary structure includes four short double-helical elements and three loops (D, anti-codon, and T loops). The record is from RNAcentral. Lineage: Archaea; Methanobacteriati; Methanobacteriota.
GGGCCGGUGGCUUAGUCAGGAUAUAGCACUGGCCUUCUAAGCCAGUGGUCUCGGGUUCGAAUGCAUGCGAUCAUGCCGAAAUUCCCGACCGGCCCG